Oryza sativa Japonica Group (Japanese rice) is the source of this 733-nucleotide non-coding RNA. The record is from RefSeq and is a predicted model, not a curated record. NCBI's taxonomy places the organism in Eukaryota, Viridiplantae, Streptophyta, Magnoliopsida, Poales, Poaceae.
GUCUUCUUCUCCGGCGAUGUGGAGAUGACACGAGACCAGCGUUUGUUGUGUGGACAGAAUUCAGCAAGGCAUGCAGCCUUUGGACUUGACGAAUUUCGGAGAAAUUUUACGAAGAUUGAGGCCGUGUUUAGUUCCAAAGCUCGACAACCUUUGGGGAAGACGACACUUGCGAGAACAAGGAUUGGCACGUCGGUGCUGGGAGAAAGGCGACAACCGUUGGGGAAGAUGUCGCUUGCGAGAACAAGGCCGGAUUGCCGCGUCGGUGCUGGGAGAAAGGCAUGAGCAAUUGAGGAAGAUGACGCUUGCGAGAAUAAGGAGAAAAAGAGGAAGAUGAUGGUAGCAGAGGCAACAUCGCCCUCGUCCCUUGAUCCUCCAAAUCUGGGUAUCCUCAUUGGGCCCUUCUUCAUCCCUCUCUCUUUCUCCUGGAUGUGGUCGAGCUCGAGGUCGUGGUCGUUGCUACCGUGGAUGGCGUGGACGUGUUCGACCUCGACGCUCACCGGCUGGUUGAUGCGUCCACACUCGCGGACCAUCACAGCUGGUACGGCUCGACGCCCUUCGCUUGAUCCGUUGAGUGAGUGGAUCUUGCUCGUUGGAAAUAGCUUCCGUGGAUCCGGAAAAUACUGUUGUAGAUGUCUUCCUCGUCGCCGGUUUACGACAGCUAACAUCGGCUCGCUGUUUAUAUUUUUUGGAAAAAAAAACUUUCAAAUAUUACUAUAGUAUAGUUGCAGUGUAA